GAUGAACGCUGGCGGCGUGCCUAAUACAUGCAAGUCGAGCGAACGGACGAGAAGCUUGCUUCUCUGAUGUUAGCGGCGGACGGGUGAGUAACACUUGGAUAACCUACCUAUAAGACUGGGAAAACUUCGGGAAACCGGAGCUAAUACCGGAUGAUAUUUUGAACCGCAUGGUUCAAAAGUGAAAGCCGGUCUUUCUGUCACUUAUAGCUGGAUCCGCGCUGCAUUAGCUAGUUGGUAAGGUAACGGCUUACCAAGGCAACGAUGCAUAGCCGACCUGAGAGGGUGAUCGGCCACACUGGAACUGAGACACGGUCCAGACUCCUACGGGAGGCAGCAGUAGGGAAUCUUCCGCAAUGGGCGAAAGCCUGACGGAGCAACGCCGCGUGAGUGAUGAAGGUCUUCGGAUCGUAAAACUCUGUUAUUAGGGAAGAACAUAUGUGUAAGUAACUGUGCACAUCUUGACGGUACCUAAUCAGAAAGCCACGGCUAACUACGUG
Molecule: ribosomal RNA, 497 nt
Filed under: uncultured bacterium
Lineage: Bacteria
Description: partial 16S ribosomal RNA
Rfam family: Bacterial small subunit ribosomal RNA
Source: RNAcentral